CCUGGNUCAGGAUGAACGCUGGCGGCGUGCUUAAAACAUGCAAGUCGAACGAUGAUCCCAGCUUGUUGGGGGAUUAGUGGCGAACGGGUGAGUAACACGUGAGUAACCUGCCCUUGANUCUGGGAUAAGCCUGGGAAACUGGGUCUAAUACCGGAUACGACCAUCUGGCGCAUGUCAUGGUGGUGGAAAGCUUUUGUGGUUUUGGAUGGACUCGCGGCNUAUCAGCUUGUUGGUGGGGUAAUGGCCUACCAAGGCGACGACGGGUAGCCGGCCUGAGAGGGUGACCGGCCACACUGGGACUGAGACACGGCCCAGACUCCUACGGGAGGCAGCAGUGGGGAAUAUUGCACAAUGGGCGAAAGCCUGAUGCAGCGACGCCGCGUGAGGGAUGACGGCCUUCGGGUUGUAAACCUCUUUCAGUAGGGAAGAAGCGAAAGUGACGGUACCUGCAGAAGAAGCGCCGGCUAACUACGUGCCAGCAGCCGCGGUAAUACGUAGGGCGCAAGCGUUAUCCGGAAUUAUUGGGCGUAAAGAGCUCGUAGGCGGUUUGUCGCGUCUGCUGUGAAAGACCGGGGCUCAACUCCGGUUCUGCAGUGGGUACGGGCAGACUAGAGUGCAGUAGGGGAGACUGGAAUUCCUGGUGUAGCGGUGAAAUGCGCAGAUAUCAGGAGGAACACCGAUGGCGAAGGCAGGUCUCUGGGCUGUAACUGACNCNNAGGAGGCAAGCAUGGGAC
This 734-nucleotide ribosomal RNA is filed under the name soil bacterium ic024. Its description in RNAcentral is "bacterial SSU rRNA". It matches the Rfam family "Bacterial small subunit ribosomal RNA", at positions 18 to 767 of the family's 1533-position model. The record is from RNAcentral.